GCCCUGGGUGGGUGGAGCGGGGGAAGCGGAGUACGUUGGACCCGGCUCCGCCCUACCCCACGGGGCCGCCUGGAGAGGUGCUGGGAGCUGGGUGGAGCUUAGAGGAAUUAAACUUUGGCCCUGCGCCUCGUCCAGCCUAGGUUCCACCCUUUUCUGGGAACGCUGGAGUGCAGUGGCACCAUCUCGGCUCACUGCAACCUCUGGCUCCCAGGUUCAAGCGAUUCUCCUGCCUCAGCCCCCUGAGUAGCUGGGAUUACAGGCACGCGCCACCACUCCCAGUUUACACCCCGCCACUCCUGAGCACCGCACACCGGCUUCCUCCCAGUCCCUCAUCUGAGAACUCAUGAAGCCACUUGGAAUCCCUCUCUGCUUUGCCUGGCUCAUUCCAUGUCAAUUUCAGAUCUUCACUUCAGGUCAGCUCCAAGGAGGCUAUCCUUGCCCAUCUUCCUAAAAUAGAGCUCUCAAAACCUGGCUGUUUUCCUUCAGAGCACUGGCCUCCAAUUGCUCCGGUAGAUUGCAAAUGACCUGCUUUCUUUCUGUUCCCGGGCGUUUGGACCCCUGUCUUGGACCGCUGUCGGAUAGUAAAUCCCAAGUAAGGUACCUGCCGUCGGCAGAUUUGAGCUUUCUUCUUGGACACCUAAUACCCAGAGUCCUCCAGGCUCCGGUAGAUUGCAAAUGACCUGCUUUCUUUCUGUUCCCGGGCGGCAUCGGACCCGUCGGAGAGUAAAUCCCAAGUAAGGUACCUGCCGUUGGCAGAUUUGAGCUUUCUUCUUGGACACCUAAUACCCACAGUCCUCCAGUAAAUCCCAAGCAAGGUACCUGCCGUCAGCAGAUUUGAGCUUUCUUCUUGGACACCUAAUACCCACAGUCCUCCAGUAAAUCCCAAGCAAGGUACCUGCCGUCAGCAGAUUUGAGCUUUCUUCUUGGACACCUAAUACCCACAGUCCUCCAAUAACUCCCAAGUAAGGUACCUGCCGUCGGCAGAUUGGAGCUUUCUUCUUGGAGACCUAAUACCCACAGUCCUCCAGAAAAACAAACAAAGACAUGGAUUUACUGUGCAUAUUAGCAGAUCCAUACUGGAAAAUGCAUGGAGGUUUCAUAUACACCACUUACAGGUUUCCAAAGCCACAAUUUCCUUCAUAUGUUCAAACUCUUCAGGAUGCAGAAAGGCAGUGAACUCCUCCGGAGUAGCUGUCAGGUCACCAUUGAGGUCUGCAGCUUUGAAUCUUCUCUCAUCACGUGGCAGCAUCUUUUUAAAGGUGUGAUGAUCUGAAGAAUCAUGAAACUCUGCGGGGUUUCCUAGGUUUUCAGCUCCUCAGUAGUGACAAAGCCAUACCCAUCAUUGUCGAUUCGAUCAACAAUCUUCCCUAGCCUCUCCUUGCUCUCGUCCGGGGUGAGCUCGUCGAAGUUCUUGGAGUCCUCCUUGCCCAGGAAGGCCUCGUGGUCGUACUGGAAGCUCUGGUUGUCCUCAGGGGGCCGCUCGCCCAGCUCCGAGUCGGGCCGCACCACGCGCUCUUUGCGCACCGUGGGCUUGGCCCGCAGAACCCGCGGCGCCAGCACCAGCGCCAGCAGCAGCCCCAGGGCUAACCCCAGGCGGCCACCGCGCGCCAUCGUCCCGAGGAGAGGGCGGCCGGGAGGGAGACGCUGAGCGAGCGACAACAGCGGCAGCUCGGGAAUGGGGGCUCGGAGCGCGGCGGCCAAGUUUUAUGUUAUGUAUAUUUUACAAGUAAAAAAAUUUUUUCACCUCAGCCUGAACUGAACACUAGCUGACAGACGUUUUGAUUUCUUUGACCAUCACGGAAUCGUGGCCAAGCGCGGUGGCUCACAUCUGUAAUCCCAACACUUUGGGAGGUCAAGAUGGGCGGAUUGCUUGAAUCCAGGUGUUUGAGAUCAGCCUGGGCAACAUGACAAAACCCUGUUUCUAGUAAAAAUACAAAAAUUAACCAGG
Long non-coding RNA from Homo sapiens (human), 1948 nucleotides. Ensembl annotates it as TPT1 antisense RNA 1. Its record names the gene TPT1-AS1. Lineage: Eukaryota; Metazoa; Chordata; Mammalia; Primates; Hominidae. The record is from Ensembl.